ACCUCGAUGUUGGAUCAGGACAUCCAAAUGGUGCAACCGCUAUUAAAGGUUCGUUUGUUCAACGAUUAAAGUCCUAUGUGAUCUGAGUUCAGACCGGAGAAAUCCAGGUU
Molecule: non-coding RNA, 110 nt
Filed under: Sarcophilus harrisii (Tasmanian devil)
Lineage: Eukaryota; Metazoa; Chordata; Mammalia; Dasyuromorphia; Dasyuridae
Description: Bacterial large subunit ribosomal RNA
Rfam family: Bacterial large subunit ribosomal RNA
Source: Rfam by way of RNAcentral